RNAcentral lists this unclassified non-coding RNA (3831 nucleotides) under Drosophila ananassae. RNAcentral describes it as "GF14975". Lineage: Eukaryota; Metazoa; Arthropoda; Insecta; Diptera; Drosophilidae. The record is from RNAcentral.
UAUUCGAGAAAAUCCAUUAUGAUGCACAAAUUAAAAUAUCGCGAUAAGUUGAAGUGGCUCCAAGCACUUCUGAUCUGCGUCUGUUUGAGCCACUUCGCAGAAGCCCAGACGAGAGAUCCUAGAUUUUAUUCCCGGCCCGGCGUCGACUGGCCGAACCCAGGGGAUCCAGACUACAGAACUUACACCUUCAACGACCGUCGCUAUGGUCACUACCAGCCCAAUGGCUUCGGGGCCAACUACCCGGGCAGGAAUUCUCCUGGCCAAUAUCCUCAAGGAAUGCCAAACGAGGAUCGCUUCCGCUUCGAUCCGAAUGACCCCAAUGCCCGGACUCAGUUUCCGGGAGUUUUGGCCGGAUGGAGGGAGGACUUGCAGGGAAAGCAGCGAAGGGACUCACUGACCUUGGAGCGGGAUGUGUUUGUAACCACAAACUAUGGGCAGGUGCAGGGCUUCAAGGUGUACAUGUACGACAACCCCGAUCCGAAGUCCUUCUACCGUCCCUACCACUCCACCGUGGACCGUGUGAUGGGCGAGUGCUCGGCCUUCCUGGGCAUCCCCUACGCCCUUCCGCCCACCUUUGAGGGCAGAUUCAAGCCGCCCCGCAUCCACCGCGGGUGGCAGCUGCUGCAGGCUGUGGAUUUCGGACCGGCUUGCCCACAACCCGUUCGAUACACGGGUGCCACCAAGGGAGUCAUGGACAUGGACGAAGAUUGCCUCUACUUGAACGUCUACUCACCCAAGACUGGCGCAGGAGUGGCACAAAAGUACCCGGUAAUGGUCUACAUUCACGGCGGAGAGUUCAUCAGAGGCGCCUCAAACCUGUUCCAGGGUCACAUAUUGGCGUCCUUCUACGACGUUGUAGUGGUGACCCUCAACUACCGUCUUGGCGCUCUGGGCUUCCUGUCCACGGGGGAUGAGAACUCGCCUGGAAACUACGGAAUCCUGGACCAGGCGAUGGCCUUACGCUGGAUCCACGACAACAUCGAGUUCUUCAAUGGGGAUCGUGACUCCAUUACGCUCUUCGGUCCUGGUGCGGGAGGCGCCUCCGCCGGAUUGCUCAUGGUGGCGCCCCAGACACGGAACAUCGUGAAACGGGUUAUCGCCCAGUCGGGAUCGGCGCUGGCAGACUGGGCACUGAUUCAGGACAAGUACCGGGCGCAGAACACUAGCCGGGUGCUGGGUCAGCUUCUCGGCUGCUCCAUCGAGUCUUCGUGGAAGCUGGUCAACUGCCUGCGCACCGGACGCAGCUUCUACGAGCUGGGAAAUGCUGAGUUCGCUCCGCAGGUGGGCAGCUUCCCCUGGGGUCCUGUGCUGGACCACAAUUUCACGGUGCCCGGCGACGACUGGUACGAGGGCUGGAGGGAAAAGGACUGGCGGUUUCUCACCCAGACUCCGGAGACGCUUAUCCGGGCCGGCCGGUUCAACAGGAACAUUCAGUAUAUGACAGGAGUUACUACCCAGGAGGCAGCCUUCCUGGUGGCCCAGAACGAGUCCUUGAGUCCGUACUAUGAGCUGGACGGACGCUUCUUCGAGCAAAAGAUCCGCGAGCACGUCUUCCGCUACAACUACACUCUCAACCCCAACGGCGUCUACGAGGCCAUCAAGUACAUGUACACCUACUGGCCAGACCCGAACAAUAACACCAUCAUCCGGGACCAGUACAUCAACCUGCUGAGCGAUCUCUACUACCGAGCUCCAGUGGACCAGAUGGUGAAGCUGCUGCUCGAACAGAAGGUGCCGGUGUACAUGUACGUACUGAACACCACGGUGGAGGCGCUGAAUCUUCCCCAGUGGCGCAAAUAUCCUCACGACAUAGAGCGCUACUUCCUCACGGGGGCUCCCUUCAUGGACACCGAGUUCUUCCCCAAAAAGGAGCACCUGCAGCGCAACAUGUGGACCGACAAUGAUCGGAAUAUGAGUCACUUCUUCAUGCAAACGUACUCCAACUUUGCGAGAUACGGCAAUCCGACGCCCCAACAGGUCCUGGGCAUGCACUUCCAACGGGCCUACCAGGGCGAGAUUCGCUACCUCAACGUCAACACCACCUUCAACUCGUCCAUCCUGCUGAACUACAGGCAGACGGAGUGCGCCUUCUGGACGCAAUACCUCCCAACGGUGAUAGGAGUGCUGGUGCCCACUUACCCACCCACCACCGAGUACUGGUGGGAGCCCAAGGAGCCGCUGCAGAUUGCCUUUUGGAGCAUGUCCGUUACCUGCUUCUUCCUCAUUGUGCUGGUGGUCAUCUGCUGCAUCAUGUGGCGCAACGCCAAGAGACAAUCGGAUCGCUUCUACGAUGAGGAUGUCUUUAUCAACGGCGAGGGCAUGGAGCCAGAACCCGAUGCUCGGGGCGUGGACAACGCACACAUGGUAACCAACCACCAUGCCCUGCGCUCCAGGGACAACAUCUACGAGUACCGAGACUCGCCGUCUUCCAAGACUUUGGCCAGCAAGGCGCAAACGGAUACCACUUCCCUGCGCUCGCCCAGCUCGCUGGCCAUGACCCAGAAAUCCGGCAGCCAGGCCUCCCUCAAGUCGGGCAUCUCGCUGAAGGAAACCAACGGCAGUCUGACCAAGUCGGUCUCAGCACGGUCCCAGGCGAAUGGCAAUGGAACCACUGCCAAGUCAGCAGCCGCAGCACCCGUUGAGGAGAAGCGCCUGCUGCAGCCGCUCUCCAGCACUCCGGUGCCACAACUACAGGCGGAGCCGGCCAAGCGCGUCCCAACGGCGGCCAGUGUCUCUGGCAGCAGUCGCAGCACCACGCCUGUGCCGUCUGCCCGCACCACCACCACCACAACGACGGCCACGCUCAGCUCCCAGCCGGCGCCGCAGCCGAGACGCACCCAGCUGGUGGAGGGAGUGCCCCAGACGUCCGUCUAAGUAACAGCUCUCUAAGUGCGGGAUGCGCUUAGAGAGUCAGCCGAAUCGUCCAACAACGUACCACAGCCUUUCGAUGAACAAGGUUUUUUCCGGACAUUAUUUUGAAUUAAGUUAAUUCCUGAAAAUGUUUAAGUUUAAUGUAGUAUUUAAAAAUUGUGUUUGACAGAUCUUUGAGAUCUCAAUUUUGAGUUUUAGAUUAUGCUACUCUACAGUUAAAGUUUGUUUUUAAGUUCGAGAACCCAACGAAUACGAAUCCAUAUCAAUGACAUUCCAUAGCCUUUCCAGGGGCCUUAAGUGUGAGCUUGUAAAUAAAAUUAUUUUAGGAAAAUGUGUGUAUUAGAUGUAGGUACUUAUUUUUUAACAGAGCUACUUUAAAGUUAUAAGAUAAUCCAUUUUUUGUGAGUCCAUUUCUAAGGCAGUGACAGAAGUGCGAAAUUGAACUGUAACAAAAGUUAGUAAUAGACUAAAUCGUAUUCUAAAAUAAUAAAUAAUUGGCCUGGCUAUCAGUGUAAAAUUAUUUGAACCAUAUUCGUAAGAUUGUCACGCCUCUCACCGUAAGAUUAACAUUAAAAUGGGCAGACUUAGACCCUCCACACGCCGAGCAAUACCUAAAGUGCCUUCAUUCCUCGAGCUUGUCUUUGAUGGACCCCCACCUGGUUCUGCCAAUCGGUGCCUCACCCAUUCAAUGACCAAGUGUGCCUUACCACUCAUACAUACACUUACAUCCUAGUUGUAGUUUAAUUAUAUGUCUAUGUGUCGCAUAUUUAAGCCAAGAAGACCAUACCAAUCAGUGUGAACCGUCCAAUAAUUUUGUUUUCAUAAGCAUCUUGUAAAUGUUUACUGUACAUACUUGUAUCUUUACAUGUUUGAAAGCAUAUUGUAUUAGCAUUCCAUUUAUUUUUAUGUAUUUAAACCUAGUGUAACGUAUUUGUCCCUCAAUAAAAUAUUACUAAUUUA